GCGCGACUUCCCUGGCCCUCCCCCUGCGGACCAGUGAACCUCGCCCGAGGGCUCAAUAAAGAAGAUUUUUGCCCUCUUUUUCUCACCUCUCAGCCUUAUUGAUCCAUGGUGCCCUUCCAUUGCCUUUCAUUGGUGCCGAAACCCGGGAGGGGACACCUCCUAAGCCCCCCCAGAGGCUCAGGGGGACUCCCCUCCUGGUCGGAUCAGUCCUCUCCCUCAGUCAGGUCAGGCUUCUCCUCCACGGCCAUCUGUCCAUUUCGUCCGGUUACUUGCUGCCAGGUCGCAGUUGCUGCAGCUACUCCAGUCCAAUUCGGCCGACGCUAGAAAUUUUCUGCUGAUUUUCUUGAUUGUGAUAUACCUCAGCACUUGACUUGCUGAAUAAGACAACUGUGGCAAUUAUGACUACUGACAAGAAUAUUGUGUAAAUGAUCAAGAAUAACUUGUUAUAUAUCUAGACCAGAUAUAUAUGAAAGAGAAAAUUGACAAAGGUGGAGCAAGUAUCCCAGCUAUUAAUGUGUAA
Molecule: long non-coding RNA, 520 nt
Filed under: Homo sapiens (human)
Lineage: Eukaryota; Metazoa; Chordata; Mammalia; Primates; Hominidae
Description: long intergenic non-protein coding RNA 1287
Source: RNAcentral